RNAcentral lists this non-coding RNA (24 nucleotides) under Rattus norvegicus (Norway rat). The record is from RNAcentral. Lineage: Eukaryota; Metazoa; Chordata; Mammalia; Rodentia; Muridae.
GGAAAUCUAUUUUUUGAAGGACAC